Molecule: unclassified non-coding RNA, 185 nt
Filed under: plant metagenome
Description: partial contains small subunit ribosomal RNA and internal transcribed spacer 1
Rfam family: Eukaryotic small subunit ribosomal RNA (bases 1-46)
Source: RNAcentral
AAGUCGUAACAAGGUUUCCGUAGGUGAACCUGCGGAAGGAUCAUUACAGUUGGGGCCCCGCCCCGAUCAAGAUACCACCCCUUGCAUUUUGAGUACCUCUGUUUCCUCGGCGGGCCCGCCCGCCAAUGGGGACCACGAAGAAACCUCUUGCAGUUGCAGUAAACGUCUAAACAAACAAAAUCAAA